This 393-nucleotide ribosomal RNA is filed under the name uncultured bacterium. Its description in RNAcentral is "partial 16S ribosomal RNA". It matches the Rfam family "Bacterial small subunit ribosomal RNA", at positions 523 to 918 of the family's 1533-position model. The record is from RNAcentral.
AUACGGAGGACGCGAGCGUUAUCCGGAUUCAUUGGGUUUAAAGGGUGCGCAGGCGGCCGUGCAAGUCAGCGGUGAAAGCCCGGGGUCCAACCCCGGAAGUGCCGUUGAUACUGCAUGGCUUGAAUGCGGUCGAGGCGGGCGGAACGUGGCGUGUAGCGGGGAAAUGCGUAGAUAUGCCACAGAACGCCGAUAGCGGAGGCAGCUCGCCAGGCCUGCAUUGACGCUCGGGCACGAAAGCGUGGGGAUCGAACAGGAUUAGAUCCCCUGGUAGUCCACGCCGUAAACGAUGGGCGCUCGUCGUCGGCGGCAGACAGUCGGCGGCCAAGCGAAAGCGAUAAGCGCCCCACCUGGGGAGUACGGUCGCAAGGCUGAAACUCAAAUGAAUUGGCGGGG